This 843-nucleotide ribosomal RNA is filed under the name Rhodoveronaea varioseptata. Its description in RNAcentral is "eukaryotic LSU rRNA". It matches the Rfam family "Eukaryotic large subunit ribosomal RNA", at positions 66 to 943 of the family's 3401-position model. Lineage: Eukaryota; Fungi; Ascomycota; Sordariomycetes. The record is from RNAcentral.
CAACAGGGAUUGCCCUAGUAACGGCGAGUGAAGCGGCAACAGCUCAAAUUUGAAAUCUGGCCUCGGCCCGAGUUGUAAUUUGUAGAGGAUGCUUUUGAUGCGGCGCCUUCUGAGUUCCCUGGAACGGGACGCCAGAGAGGGUGAGAGCCCCGUAGAGUCGGACGCCAAGUCUCUGUAAAGCUCCUUCGACGAGUCGAGUAGUUUGGGAAUGCUGCUCAAAAUGGGAGGUAAAUUUCUUCUAAAGCUAAAUACCGGCCAAAGACCGAUAGCGCACAAGUAGAGUGAUCGAAAGAUGAAAAGCACUUUGAAAAGAGGGUUAAAAAGCACGUGAAAUUGUUGAAAGGGAAGCGCUCAUGACCAGACUUGCGCCUUGUGGAUAAGCCAGCGUUCUCGCUGGUGUUUCUGCUCGGUUCAGGCCAGCAUCGGUUUUCUUAGGGGGAUAAAAGCUUCGGGAACGUGGCUCCUCCGGGAGUGUUAUAGCCCGCUGCACAAUAUCCCUAGGGGGACCGAGGCCCGCGCUUCGGCAAGGAUGCUGGCGUAAUGGUCAUCAGCGACCCGUCUUGAAACACGGACCAAGGAGUCAAGCAUUAGGGCGAGUGUUUGGGUGUAAAACCCGCACGCGAAAUGAAAGUGAACGCUGGUGAGAGCUUCGGCGCAUCAUCGACCGAUCCUGAUGUACUCGGAUGGAUUUGAGUAAGAGCCUUACCGCUUGGACCCGAAAGUUGAUGAACUAUGCCUGUAUAGGGUGAAGCCAGAGGAAACUCUGGUGGAGGCUCGCAGCGGUUCUGACGUGCAAAUCGAUCGUCAAAUAUGGGCAUGGGGGCGAAAGACUAAUCGAACCAU